UGGGGAAUAUUGCACAAUGGGCGCAAGCCUGAUGCAGCGACGCCGCGUGAGGGAUGGAGGCCUUCGGGUUGUAAACCUCUUUCGCCAGUGAAGCAGGCCAUCUUCUUUGUGGGGUGGUUGACGGUAGCUGGAUAAGAAGCGCCGGCUAACUACGUGCCAGCAGCCGCGGUAAUACGUAGGGCGCGAGCGUUGUCCGGAAUUAUUGGGCGGAAAGAGCUCGUAGGCGGCUGGUCGCGUCUGUCGUGAAAUCCCCUGGCUUAACUGGGGGCGUGCGGUGGGUACGGGCCGGCUUGAGUGCGGUAGGGGAGACUGGAAUUCCUGGUGUAGCGGUGGAAUGCGCAGAUAUCAGGAGGAACACCGGUGGCGAAGGCGGGUCUCUGGGCCGUUACUGACGCUGAGGAGCGAAAGCGUGGGGAGCGAACAGG
RNAcentral lists this ribosomal RNA (425 nucleotides) under bacterium. RNAcentral's name for it is "partial 16S ribosomal RNA". It matches the Rfam family "Bacterial small subunit ribosomal RNA", at positions 355 to 776 of the family's 1533-position model. The record is from RNAcentral.